GCCAGUGUGGUGUAGUGGGAAAGAGCAAUAGACUCGUAAUCUGGUGAACUGGGUUCGAUUCCCCGCUCCUCCACAUGCA
This 79-nucleotide transfer RNA is filed under the name Podarcis lilfordi (Lilford's wall lizard). RNAcentral's name for it is "tRNA.Thr". Lineage: Eukaryota; Metazoa; Chordata; Lepidosauria; Squamata; Lacertidae. The record is from RNAcentral.